ACGCUCGACACCUACGUGAGGCAGCAAUGGGGAAUAUUGCACAAUGGGGGAAACCCUGAUGCAGCAACGCCGCGUGAAGGAAGAAGUAUUUCGGUAUGUAAACUUCUAUCAGCAGGGAAGAAAAAGAUGACGGUACCUGACUAAGAAGAACCGGCUAAAUACGUGCUAGCAGCCGCGGUAAUCUGAGCGGGCUGGCAAGGC
RNAcentral lists this ribosomal RNA (201 nucleotides) under uncultured bacterium. Its description in RNAcentral is "partial 16S ribosomal RNA". It matches the Rfam family "Bacterial small subunit ribosomal RNA", at positions 328 to 539 of the family's 1533-position model. The record is from RNAcentral.